Long non-coding RNA from Oncorhynchus keta (chum salmon), 490 nucleotides. RefSeq lists it as uncharacterized. The transcript has 2 exons. The record is from RefSeq and is a predicted model, not a curated record. NCBI's taxonomy places the organism in Eukaryota, Metazoa, Chordata, Actinopteri, Salmoniformes, Salmonidae.
UUUCAGCUGUGCUAACAAUUGCAAAAGCGUUUUCUAAUGACCAAUUAGCCUUUUUAAAAUGACAAACUUGGAUUAGCUAACAACGUGCCAUUGGAACACCGGAGUGAUGGUUGCUGAUAAUGGGCCUCCACCACCCAAAGGGAAUACAGCCAACUUGACACAACUCUUGGAAGCAUUGGAGUCAACAUGGGCCAGCAUCCCUGUGGAACACUUUCCAUGAGUUGAGGCUGUUCGGAGGGCAAAAUGGACAAAAUGUUGUCCACUCAGUAUCAUCAGGCUGCUGAUUAUCCCGCACACCUGUCACCAUCGUCUCGCGCACCUGCGCCUCAUGACACUCACCUGGACUCCAUCACCUCCUUGAUUAUCUUCCCUCUAUCUGUCCCUCCCCUUGGUUCUUUCCUCAGGUGUUAUUGACUCCGUUUUCAUGUCGGUGCGUUGUUUGAUAUGUGUUCAUUGUUUCUUUUAUUUAUUAAAACACUCACUCCCUGAA